AUGUUUUCUUUCAUUAUUUUUAUGAUCCGGGAACCGCCCCACACAAGAGAGCUGGAAUCCUCUGGUCUUGAUCCUCGGGAGGAAACUGUGACAGGAGAGGGGCAGGCGUCCUCCCCGCUUUCCAAACGAGACCGGGCUCCGCUGGACUGCGGACUGGCCCAGAGUCCCCACCAGGGCCCGGCCCACCCCGUGCUGCUCCGAGGGUCUGUCGCACAGAACAGCGGGAAACGAGCAUUCAAUCAUCGUCGUCUUCAAGGGCAUAAACCCAAGGUGGGAGAGGGGAAAACAACCCCGCUUGGGCCCAACCUUAGAGGAGGCGCCCGGUGGGCAAGGCCGAGUGGGAGAGAAAGGCUGACUGGGACCUGGUCCCCCCAGGAUCUCGGGGCGCCGAUGCUGGGAAACACGGACCGUGGCCGCGAAUGCAGGAGUGCAGAGUGUGACUGCGGGGGAAGAGCUGUCCGUUGCAGGGCAUGAAGGAAGGCUUCCUGGAGGAGGUGCCCUUGGAGCUGGUCCGGAAGUUGGGGGGAGGGGUUCCGCAGGGUAUUCUGGAAUGAAGAAGGAGCUUAAGCCAGAGCAAGCGCCGACUCCUACUGAGAAAGGACUGUGGGAGAGAAACUGGGGGGCAAGAAAAUCCUGGGGAACAGGGGCAGUGAAGCAGCUCCUGGGCUCACACACGCGGCUCUCAGAGGGCGCACCUUUCACCCGCUCCUGGUUCAGACAAGAUUCAGACCCGCGGAUGCUCACCUGCCGGGGGAGCCAGUGGUGAGCCCGGCUCAGCAUUGCCUUUCUCCCCGGGACCCAGGACCCAGCCAUGACCAGGCCUGGAGGCCUCCACGGGCAGCGGGUGGUCAGCAGAGCGCUUCCUGUGGCCUCUCGAGUGGCCCGGGCCUCCUCAUGGUGGUGGCCGGAGCCAACAGCAGUGUCCCAGGAGGGCUGGGUGGGGAGUCCCUGGGCCUGGUGGCAGUGCAGCCGGACUCAGGGACGGAGCACAGACCACCUCUUCAUGUCAGAAGCUGCGAGUCCGGGAUUUUGGAAGACACCGAGGUUGCACGCCCGGGCUGCACGCACGCGGCUCUCAGGUGUUGCUGAGUCUCUGCGCGCUGCUGUCAGUGUGGACAGGGUGCCUUGUGUCUCCUGGCCUUUGCUGACCGUGUGAACACAUACAGGUGAGGCUGGGCUGCUCCUUUGGCGCCGCAAGGAUGGCAGAGGCUGCAGGACUGGGAGUGACUGCUAUUCCGGAUGUUGCUGCAGAAGGUGGGGGAUGGGGCACAGGUGAGCCCCCAGGAGCGGGGCUCUGGGAAGCACCCUGAUCAGAGCAGGAGGCCCAAGUCCUGCCUGCUGCUGGCGGUGGGCACAUCCUGGAGCCCUGGAGGCCUGGGGCCCUCGUCAGCUCUAAGAUGCUCAGUGUUUCCUGAGCGACGCGGGUCCUUGGCCCCAGAGGUACCCACGUGCUCGCGUUUGGGUCUGUUAGACCCUGGGGGCGUCACGAAGCGGGGUCCUGGGCACAGGCGGGGAAACCGAGGCUCUCCUGGCCCCUUGCUGGGGCGCCACCCUGAGGCGGGAGGAGGGUGUUGGGAGAGUCCCCCAGGCACCAGACCCGGCGUGGGGUGAACAGACAUCAACCCGGCAACCUCACUGGACCCCUGAGCCGGAGGAAGCUGCGUCCCAGUGAAUUGAUUCACAGGGAGGAAGAGGCGUGUGCGGGGCACUCACCUCCUCCCGCCUCGCACGCGCCCUCCCGGCCCCAGAGCAGCGGAUCCACAGCCCAGAGACGUGUGGCAGGAUGGGGAGGGCGUUUCUCCCUGGGGCGGUGGCACAGGGCAGGUAAGUGCGCCCCCCACCACCUUAGGGCUUUCCGCCAGAACCUGUGACCGUGGCUGCCUCAGGACUGGCUCUACAUCAGGGCCGUGGCGGGUGGACGGCUGUGCCCUGCUUUUUCUCUCUUCUUCCCCAAGAUAUGUUUGGCAACUGCGUCUGAGGCCUCCAGCUGCACCUGGGCACAGCGUGUCCCCGUGGACACCAGAGGUUGCCAGAUAAGCAUGGGGUGAACUCGGAUCCGCACCAGCUGACACGAAACCUCCCUUGACACGGCCAAGUUACGUCACCCGGACCAGCAGGUGCCCCCAGACAGCACGGGGCCUGGGAGGGACUCCGCCUCUGCUGGCACCUCCGCUCCGUGGCCCUGCUUUCCUGCUUCCCCGAGGUUCCCUGCAAGAUUCUGCUGGAAGAGGCAGUUCUAAGAGGGGAGGGGUGCAAACCACCCGGCUGCCACCCAGUCACACUGCUGGACGGGAGAGGACGCGGCUCAGAGAGGGGACAGCAUUGCUCAGGGUCCCCGCCCGUCUGCACAGACCCAAGAGGCACCCCCCACCCCAGCUCAACUCCUUCCAUCUGACCGACUCUGACCUGGCUGCGGGCACCCUGGCUGCGGGCAGACUGCACCUGGCAGAGUUGUCUCCCAGAGAGACCAGCAGGGUGUCCAUUGUCCGUAGGGGCCCCAUCCUUCCCCCAGGCCCCCUGUCCAGUCUUUCCAGAACCCAGGACUCUGGGUUCCUGAUUCGCUCCUCCCCCAGGUGCCAAGCUGGGACAGUGGUAACAGCCGCGCUCCCAGCACGGAGCCUGACUUCCCGAAUCUCUGAGCGAGCGGCUCAGACACACCUGUGUGAGCUCCCGGUCCCCUUUCCCGGCCUUGGGGGAGGGGGGUCCUCAAACGAGUGGGAGGAAG
This 2725-nucleotide long non-coding RNA is filed under the name Sus scrofa (pig). RNAcentral's name for it is "lncRNA (ENSSSCG00055013975.1)". The record is from RNAcentral. Lineage: Eukaryota; Metazoa; Chordata; Mammalia; Artiodactyla; Suidae.